CUCUCUCUCUCUCCAUCCUUAGGUGGCACAUCAACCCUCUCUCCACCUCUUUUUUAUCUCUCUCAUCUUCUCUAGCCUCCCCACUUAGAAAAUAUUUUUGUGAGACAAAAAUAGGGGGCACGCCCCAACCAUAGAAAUCAAGGAGAGGGGCACGCCCAUACCACAAUGCACUGAGGCCUAGUUCUUGUCUCUAAGUUUUACCACUGCUCUCUGAUUUAAUUAAGGGUUGCAACCUAAGGUUUUCCAUACUUUGAAGUUAUGAGAUAGGCCAUUGAUAACAUGCGUCACUGGAGAAGGAAACCCAAAUUGGGGUGUGCAAAGUUCUUAUGACAUCUUGUUCUAUGGUUUGCAGUUUAUGUCUUUCUUGUUCUUGAGAGUCUUAUGCGAUUUUCAUUUAUUGAAUAAAAGAAGUUUUAUUAGUGGCAGCAAGUGAGGACCUCUUUAGUCACUUUUUAUAAUUUUUUUUAGUUGAUUUAAUUGUAUUUAGACAUCUGUAAGUGCUCUAGCC
RNAcentral lists this long non-coding RNA (508 nucleotides) under Amborella trichopoda. RNAcentral describes it as "long non-coding RNA (ATRI_LNC005374)". The record is from RNAcentral. Lineage: Eukaryota; Viridiplantae; Streptophyta; Magnoliopsida; Amborellales; Amborellaceae.